GUUGCUUCGGCGGGUGCCCCGCCACGGGACCGCCCGCCGGAGGGCUUCAAACCAAUGCGAGUUUACGUGUCUGUCCGAAAUGUCUCUGUUGAACCGAGCAAAAACUUUCAGCAACGGAUCUCUUGGUUCCGGCAUCGAUGAAGAACGCAGCGAAAUGCGAUAAGUAAUGUGAAUUGCAGAAUCCAGUGAACCAUCGAAUCUUUGAACGCACAUUGCGCCCCCCGGCAUUCCGGGGGGCAUGCCCGUCCGAGCGUCAUUGCACCACGUCGAGCCCGCGGGCUUGGUUUUUGGGCUCUGUCUCCCCCGCGCCUGGGGCAGACACGCCCCAAAGGCAGUGGCAGCCCGGGGGCGACCUCCAGCGCGAUGGUACGCUCCACGCUGGGCAGGAGUCGCCCCGGGUUGGCGCCAGGCAACCUGAUUCUCUCCGUUCGGUUGACCUCGGAUCGGGCAGGGAUACCCGCUGAACUUAAGCAUAUCAAUAAGCGGAGGACAAGAAACCAACCGGGAUUGCCUCAGUAACGGCGAGUGAAGCGGCAGCAGCUCAAAUUUGAAAUCCGACCCCCCUCGGGGGCCCGAGUUGUAAUUUGGAGAGGGCGCUUCGGGGCGCGCCGCCGGUCCGAGUGCCUUGGAACAGGCCGCCGUGGAGGGUGAGAGCCCCGUACGCGGCCGGCGGACCGUCCCCGCACGAAGCCCCUUCGACGAGUCGAGUUGUUUGGGAAUGCAGCUCUAAGCGGGUGGUAAAUUCCAUCUAAAGCUAAAUACAGGCCGGAGACCGAUAGCGCACAAGUAGAGUGAUCGAAAGAUGAAAAGCACCUUGAAAAGGGGGUCAAAAAGCACGUGAAAUUGCUGAGAGGGAAGCGCUGGCCCCCAGACCUGCCGCGCAGGCGACCCCCUGUGGCCCCGUGCCGCCGGGGAUCAUCGUCCGCGCUCAGGCCAGCACGGGUUCGGGCGGCGGGACAAAGCGCCCGGGAAUGUAGCUCCCUCCGGGGAGCCUUAUAGCCCGGGCGGUCAUGCCGCCCGCCCGGACCGAGGACCGCGCUUCGGCGAGGGUGCUGGCGUAAUGGGGGUCAGCGACCCGUCUUGAAACACGGACCAAGGAGUCUAACGUCCCCGCGAGUGUUCGGGCGUCAAACCCCCGGCGCGGAAUGAAAGUGAACGGAGGUGGGACCCCCGCGAGGGGCGCACCAUCGACCGAUCCAGAUGUCUUCGGAUGGAUUUGAGUACGAGCGCGGCCGUUGGGACCCGAAAGAUGGUGAACUAUGCCUGGGUAGGGUGAAGCCAGAG
This 1284-nucleotide ribosomal RNA is filed under the name Leptogium denticulatum. RNAcentral describes it as "eukaryotic LSU rRNA". The stretch from base 434 to 1284 matches the Rfam family "Eukaryotic large subunit ribosomal RNA", at positions 1 to 857 of the family's 3401-position model. The record is from RNAcentral. Lineage: Eukaryota; Fungi; Ascomycota; Lecanoromycetes; Peltigerales; Collemataceae.